Oncorhynchus keta (chum salmon) is the source of this 3690-nucleotide long non-coding RNA. RefSeq lists it as uncharacterized. Lineage: Eukaryota; Metazoa; Chordata; Actinopteri; Salmoniformes; Salmonidae. The transcript has 3 exons. The record is from RefSeq and is a predicted model, not a curated record.
UGGAGGUUAUAGAGACGUGUUGACUGGUUAAUGCUGUAGAGGGUAUAGAGACGUGUUGAAUGGUUAAUGCUGUGGAGGAUAUAGAGACGUGUUGUGUUGACUGGUUAAUGCUGUGGAGGGUAUAGAGACGUGUUGUGUUGACUGGUUCAUGCUGUGGAGGGUAUAGAGACGUGUUGUGUUGACUGGUUCAUGCUGUGGAGGGUAUAGAGACGUGUUGUGUUGACUGGUUAAUGUUGUGGAGGAUAUAGAGACGUGUUGACUGGUUAAUGCUGUGGAGGAUAUAGAGACGUGUUGAAUGGUUAAUGCUGUGGAGGGUAUAGAGACGUGUUGACUGGUUAAUGCUGUGGAGGAUAUAGAGACGUGUUGUGUUGACUGGUUAAUGCUGUGGAGGGUAUAGAGACGUGUUGAAUGGUUAAUGCUGUGGAGGAUAUAGAGACGUGUUGUGUUGACUGGUUAAUGCUGUGGAGGGUAUAGAGAGGUGUUGUGUUGACUGGUUAAUGCUGUGGAGGGUAUAGAGAUGUGUUGUGUUGACUGGUUAAUGCUGUGGAGGUUAUAGAGAGGUGUUGACUGGUUAAUACUGUGGAGGGUAUGGAGACGUGUUGUGUUGACUGGUUAAUGCUGUGGGGGGUAUAGAGAGGUGUUGACUGGUUAAUGCUGUGGAGGGUAUAGAGAGGUGUUGACUGGUUAAUGCUGUGGAGGGUAUAGAGACGUGUUGUGUUGACUGGUUAAUGCUGUGGAGGGUAUAGAGAGGUGUUGACUGGUUAAUGCUGUGGAGGGUAUAGAGAGGUGUUGACUGGUUAAUGCUGUGGAGGGUAUAGAGACGUGUUGUGUUGACUGGUUAAUGCUGUGGAGGGUAUAGAGAGGUGUUGACUGGUUAAUGCUGUGGAGGGUAUAGAGAGGUGUUGACUGGUUAAUGCUCUGGAGGGUAUAGAGAGGUGUUGACUGGUUAAUGCUGUGGAGGUGUAUAGAGACGUGUUGACUGGUUAAUGCUGUGGAGGGUAUAGAGAGGUGUUGUGUUGACUGGUUAAUGCUGUGGAGGGUAUAGAGACGUGUUGUGUUGACUGGUUACUGCUGUGGAGGAUAUAGAGACGUGUUGUGUUGACUGGUUAAUGCUGUGGAGGCUAUAGAGAGUUGUUGACUUGUUAAUGCUGUGGAGGGUAUAGAGAGGUGUUGUGUUGACUGGUUAAUGCUGUGGAGGGGAUAGAGAGGUGUUGACUGGUUAAUGCUGUGGAGGGUAUAGAGACGUGUUGACUGGUUAAUGCUGUGGAGGGUAUAGAGAGGUGUUGUGUUGACUGGUUAAUGAUGUGGAGGGUAUAGAGACGUGUUGACUGGUUAAUGCUGUGGAGGGUAUAGAGACGUGUUGACUGGUUAAUGCUGUGGGGGGUAUAGAGAGGUGUUGACUGGUUAAUGCUGUGGAGGGUAUAGAGAGGUGUUGACUGGUUAAUGCUGUGGAGGGUAUAGAGACGUGUUGACUGGUUAAUGCUGUGGGGGGUAUAGAGAGGUGUUGACUGGUUAAUGCUGUGGAGGGUAUAGAGAGGUGUUGACUGGUUAAUGCUGUGGAGGGUAUAGAGAGGUGUUGUGUUAACUGGUUACUGCUGUGGAGGGUAUAGAGAGGUGUUGACUGGUUAAUGCUGUGGAGGGUAUAGAGAGGUGUUGACUGGUUAAUACUGUGGAGGGUAUAGAGACGUGUUGACUGGUUAAUGCUGUGGAGGGUAUAGAGAGGUGUUGACUAUGCUGUGGAGGGUAUAGAGAGGUGUUGACUGGUUAAUGCUGUGGAGAGUAUAGAGAGGUGUUGACUGGUUAAUGAUGUGGAGGGUAUAGAGAGAGACGUGUUGACUGGUUAAUGCUGUGGAGGGUAUAGAGAGGUGUUGACUGGUUAAUGCUGUGGAGGGUAUAGAGAGGUGUUGACUGGGUAAUGAGUGUGGAGGUAAUUGAUUGGAGGCUGUAAUUAGUAGAUUGCUGUCCUUGAUUAAUCACAGUCCAGUAGAGCCAACAUUAUCACCUGUUGUUAAUGUUAUUCUGUGUGUUUGCUCUGGUGAGCAGACUAUCUCUAUUCAUCCAUCUCACACCAUGUACCAUCACUGGAGACUUCCUGUCUUCCUUUCAACAGGACAGGACACGGAACAUUCUGUAUUAUCUUUCCUAUGCUCAUUCACUUCUCCUUUUAAAUGUCCUCCAUUUUACCCAUCAUUCCAUCCUUCUCAUCUUUUCAGUGUUCUGUCAUCCUUUCCUCUCUCACUUUUCUUCAUUCCUUGCUUCCUUUUUCAUCCUCUAUUUCUCAUUGUCUUGUCUCCCUCUCUCUCUUCACUGUUUGUUAGGUCUCAGGUUCUGCCGUUGUCAUUUCGGAUUAGUGCUGAUUAGUCGAAUUAUUAUGAUUUUUCAUUGCUUUUUGGACAAGGUAUCAGAUGGAACUCUUCUAAAUGACUCAUGUAUUUUAUAACUUGUUAAGUCAGUUUGCUAAUAGGAUAAUUAUUCUGCUAAUCAGCAAGUUUCCUUGAGAUACUAAAAGUUUAAGGAUGUUCUGUCACAUCUCCAGAUUCUUGUCAGAUAACUGGUGCUGUUACAGUACAAUACAUGCUGUCUGGUACAGAAUAAAAGGGGGAGAAAUGUAAAAUUGUGUGUGUGUGUGUGUGUGUGUGUGUGUGUGUGUGUGUGUGUGUGUGUGUGUGUGUGUGUGUGUGUGUGUGUGUGUGUGUGUGUGUGUGUGUGUCGGGAAGGCUCCCUGAUUGAUAGUCUGGUUGUGUAAGAGAGGCUGGAUGGACUCCAGACAGGCAGUGUCAUGGUAACAGACAGUAACCCACAGUAGCGUGUCCUUCUCAAGAUGAGGUGUGUGUGUUCAUAUCAUGUGGGUGUGUGUGUGUAUGCGUGUGUGUAUUUCCGCACACAUGUGUGUAUGUCUUUGUACGAGCAUGGGGGACAAAAUCCCUCAUUUCACUGUGAGACCAGCAGAGUCCCAGGGUGAUGUAUGAGGUCAUUCAACCAUUCAGAGGCUCAGCCUUCUCCAGAGUUAUCUAGUCACCUGUCCUUCCAACACACAACACACACACACACACACACACACACACACACACACACACACCUGAAAGGUCACACUGGAACGUGUUUGUCAUAUCCGCUUGAGCUAUUGCCCCAUUAUUACCCUUACUAGACAUGUCUCUGUCACCUAUAUCUCUACCUCCAUCUCUCUACCUCCCCAUCUCCCUGUUUCUCUGUCCACUUGUCUGUGUGGAUAGAUGUUUUCAUCUAAGCAGCUUUUUUAGAAAUAUGAAUAAGACAUGUUUACCAGCCUACGCUAUCACUCAGUAAAAUGGUCAAUAGCACCAUCAGAGUGUCCUUGACCAGCCAAUUAGAAUUGCUCCAGACACAUCUAAGUGUUCAACCAAACAUAUAGUCCUAGAUUGGCUUAUGAAAACAUUGUCUAUUCUUCAAGGGACCCAUUGCUUUCCUCCUGGACUUAAGCCCAAGUCAUAAUGCCUUCUCAUCACUCUGGCUGAGGUGAGUGUGUGACUGCUUCACACCAUCAGUGUGACAAUCGCUCAGUCAGCCUUCUUAAAAAAUUCCAUCAAAACCCAACGCUGAGGUUGUUGUGUUGCUUUUUUGUAAUGUGGAAGUGUAAUUCUGUAUUCUUUCCUUUAUUUACAUUCCAUUCAAAAUGUUCAUUAAAAUGCAAAGGAUUUUCUCCCCCCCUCA